Molecule: ribosomal RNA, 2895 nt
Filed under: Escherichia coli
Lineage: Bacteria; Pseudomonadati; Pseudomonadota; Gammaproteobacteria; Enterobacterales; Enterobacteriaceae
Description: bacterial LSU rRNA
Rfam family: Bacterial large subunit ribosomal RNA
Source: RNAcentral
ACUAAGCGUACACGGUGGAUGCCCUGGCAGUCAGAGGCGAUGAAGGACGUGCUAAUCUGCGAUAAGCGUCGGUAAGGUGAUAUGAACCGUUAUAACCGGCGAUUUCCGAAUGGGGAAACCCAGUGUGAUUCGUCACACUAUCAUUAACUGAAUCCAUAGGUUAAUGAGGCGAACCGGGGGAACUGAAACAUCUAAGUACCCCGAGGAAAAGAAAUCAACCGAGAUUCCCCCAGUAGCGGCGAGCGAACGGGGAGCAGCCCAGAGCCUGAAUCAGUGUGUGUGUUAGUGGAAGCGUCUGGAAAGGCGCGCGAUACAGGGUGACAGCCCCGUACACAAAAAUGCACAUGCUGUGAGCUCGAUGAGUAGGGCGGGACACGUGGUAUCCUGUCUGAAUAUGGGGGGACCAUCCUCCAAGGCUAAAUACUCCUGACUGACCGAUAGUGAACCAGUACCGUGAGGGAAAGGCGAAAAGAACCCCGGCGAGGGGAGUGAAAAAGAACCUGAAACCGUGUACGUACAAGCAGUGGGAGCACAGAGCAAUCUGUGUGACUGCGUACCUUUUGUAUAAUGGGUCAGCGACUUAUAUUCUGUAGCAAGGUUAACCGAAUAGGGGAGCCGAAGGGAAACCGAGUCUUAACUGGGCGUUAAGUUGCAGGGUAUAGACCCGAAACCCGGUGAUCUAGCCAUGGGCAGGUUGAAGGUUGGGUAACACUAACUGGAGGACCGAACCGACUAAUGUUGAAAAAUUAGCGGAUGACUUGUGGCUGGGGGUGAAAGGCCAAUCAAACCGGGAGAUAGCUGGUUCUCCCCGAAAGCUAUUUAGGUAGCGCCUCGUGAAUUCAUCUCCGGGGGUAGAGCACUGUUUCGGCAAGGGGGUCAUCCCGACUUACCAACCCGAUGCAAACUGCGAAUACCGGAGAAUGUUAUCACGGGAGACACACGGCGGGUGCUAACGUCCGUCGUGAAGAGGGAAACAACCCAGACCGCCAGCUAAGGUCCCAAAGUCAUGGUUAAGUGGGAAACGAUGUGGGAAGGCCCAGACAGCCAGGAUGUUGGCUUAGAAGCAGCCAUCAUUUAAAGAAAGCGUAAUAGCUCACUGGUCGAGUCGGCCUGCGCGGAAGAUGUAACGGGGCUAAACCAUGCACCGAAGCUGCGGCAGCGACGCUUAUGCGUUGUUGGGUAGGGGAGCGUUCUGUAAGCCUGUGAAGGUGUGCUGUGAGGCAUGCUGGAGGUAUCAGAAGUGCGAAUGCUGACAUAAGUAACGAUAAAGCGGGUGAAAAGCCCGCUCGCCGGAAGACCAAGGGUUCCUGUCCAACGUUAAUCGGGGCAGGGUGAGUCGACCCCUAAGGCGAGGCCGAAAGGCGUAGUCGAUGGGAAACAGGUUAAUAUUCCUGUACUUGGUGUUACUGCGAAGGGGGGACGGAGAAGGCUAUGUUGGCCGGGCGACGGUUGUCCCGGUUUAAGCGUGUAGGCUGGUUUUCCAGGCAAAUCCGGAAAAUCAAGGCUGAGGCGUGAUGACGAGGCACUACGGUGCUGAAGCAACAAAUGCCCUGCUUCCAGGAAAAGCCUCUAAGCAUCAGGUAACAUCAAAUCGUACCCCAAACCGACACAGGUGGUCAGGUAGAGAAUACCAAGGCGCUUGAGAGAACUCGGGUGAAGGAACUAGGCAAAAUGGUGCCGUAACUUCGGGAGAAGGCACGCUGAUAUGUAGGUGAAGUCCCUCGCGGAUGGAGCUGAAAUCAGUCGAAGAUACCAGCUGGCUGCAACUGUUUAUUAAAAACACAGCACUGUGCAAACACGAAAGUGGACGUAUACGGUGUGACGCCUGCCCGGUGCCGGAAGGUUAAUUGAUGGGGUUAGCGCAAGCGAAGCUCUUGAUCGAAGCCCCGGUAAACGGCGGCCGUAACUAUAACGGUCCUAAGGUAGCGAAAUUCCUUGUCGGGUAAGUUCCGACCUGCACGAAUGGCGUAAUGAUGGCCAGGCUGUCUCCACCCGAGACUCAGUGAAAUUGAACUCGCUGUGAAGAUGCAGUGUACCCGCGGCAAGACGGAAAGACCCCGUGAACCUUUACUAUAGCUUGACACUGAACAUUGAGCCUUGAUGUGUAGGAUAGGUGGGAGGCUUUGAAGUGUGGACGCCAGUCUGCAUGGAGCCGACCUUGAAAUACCACCCUUUAAUGUUUGAUGUUCUAACGUUGACCCGUAAUCCGGGUUGCGGACAGUGUCUGGUGGGUAGUUUGACUGGGGCGGUCUCCUCCUAAAGAGUAACGGAGGAGCACGAAGGUUGGCUAAUCCUGGUCGGACAUCAGGAGGUUAGUGCAAUGGCAUAAGCCAGCUUGACUGCGAGCGUGACGGCGCGAGCAGGUGCGAAAGCAGGUCAUAGUGAUCCGGUGGUUCUGAAUGGAAGGGCCAUCGCUCAACGGAUAAAAGGUACUCCGGGGAUAACAGGCUGAUACCGCCCAAGAGUUCAUAUCGACGGCGGUGUUUGGCACCUCGAUGUCGGCUCAUCACAUCCUGGGGCUGAAGUAGGUCCCAAGGGUAUGGCUGUUCGCCAUUUAAAGUGGUACGCGAGCUGGGUUUAGAACGUCGUGAGACAGUUCGGUCCCUAUCUGCCGUGGGCGCUGGAGAACUGAGGGGGGCUGCUCCUAGUACGAGAGGACCGGAGUGGACGCAUCACUGGUGUUCGGGUUGUCAUGCCAAUGGCACUGCCCGGUAGCUAAAUGCGGAAGAGAUAAGUGCUGAAAGCAUCUAAGCACGAAACUUGCCCCGAGAUGAGUUCUCCCUGACUCCUUGAGAGUCCUGAAGGAACGUUGAAGACGACGACGUUGAUAGGCCGGGUGUGUAAGCGCAGCGAUGCGUUGAGCUAACCGGUACUAAUGAACCGUGAGGCUUAACC